AGUAAACGCUGGCGGUAGGCCUAACACAUGCAAGUCGAACGGCAGCACAGUAAGAGCUUGCUCUUACGGGUGGCGAGUGGCGGACGGGUGAGGAAUACAUCGGAAUCUACUUUUUCGUGGGGGAUAACGUAGGGAAACUUACGCUAAUACCGCAUACGACCUACGGGUGAAAGCAGGGGAUCUUCGGACCUUGCGCGAUUGAAUGAGCCGAUGUCGGAUUAGCUAGUUGGCGGGGUAAAGGCCCACCAAGGCGACGAUCCGUAGCUGGUCUGAGAGGAUGAUCAGCCACGCUGGAACUGAGACACGGUCCAGACUCCUACGGGAGGCAGCAGUGGGGAAUAUUGGACAAUGGGCGCAAGCCUGAUCCAGCCAUACCGCGUGGGUGAAGAAGGCCUUCGGGUUGUAAAGCCCUUUUGUUGGGAAAGAAAAGCAGCAGGUUAAUACCCCGCUGUUCUGACGGUACCCAAAGAAUAAGCACCGGCUAACUUCGUG
Molecule: ribosomal RNA, 492 nt
Filed under: uncultured bacterium
Lineage: Bacteria
Description: partial 16S ribosomal RNA
Rfam family: Bacterial small subunit ribosomal RNA
Source: RNAcentral